CUAACCCCCCCCUUAAAAGAUUUAGAUGCACUAUUGUAAAGUGGUUGUUCCACUGGAUAUUAUAAGGUGAAUGCACCAAUUUGUAAGUCGCUCUGGAUAAGAGCGUCUGCUAAAUGACUUAAAUGUAAAUGUAAAUGUAAAUUCGUAGGUGAUCGAAUAAACCCCCACUUCCUUCCAUUCUGCGAGCAAAUGUGCAAUCUCUGGAGAAUAAAAUAGAUGACCCACGCGGAAGAUUAAACUACCAACAGGAAUUUCAAAACUGUAAUAUCUUAUGCUUCACAGAGUCGUGGCUGAACGACGAUACUAUCAACAUACAAAUGGUUAUACGCUGCACCGACAGGAAAGAACAGCGGCGUCUGUGACCAUACGUACAUACCCCAACCAGAAGCCAUGGAUUACAGGCAACAUCUGCACAGAGCUAAAGGCCAGAGCUGCCGCUUUCAAGGAGCGGGACUCUAACCCGGAAGGUUAUAAGAAAUCCCGCUAUGCCCUCGGACGAACCAUCAAACAGGCAAAGCAUCAAUACAGGACUAAGAUCAAAUCGUCCUACACCGGCUCUGACGCUCGUCGGAUGUGGCAGGGUUUGCAAACCAUUACAGACUACAAAGGGAAGCACAGCCGAGAGCUGCCCAGUGACACGAGCCUACCAGACGAGCAAAAUUACUUCUAUGCUUGCUUCGAGGCAAAUAACACUGAAACAUGCAUGAGAGCACCAGCUGUUCUGGAAGACUGUGUGAUCACGCUCUCCGCAGCCGAUGUGAGUACGACCUUUAAACAGGUCAACAUUCACAAGGCCGCAGGGCCAGAUGGAUUACCAGGAUGUGUACUGCGAGCAUGCGCUGACCAACUGGCAAAUGUCUUCACUGGCAUUUUCAAGCUCUCCCUGUCCGAGUCUGUAAUACCAACAUGUUUUAAGCAGACCACCAUAGUGCCUGUGCCCAAGAACACUAAGGUAACCUGCCUAAAUAACUACUGACCCGUAGCACUCACGUUUGUAUCCAUGAAGUGCUUUGAAAGGCUGGUCAUAGCUCACAUCAACACCAUUAACCCAGAAACCCUAGACCCACGCAAUUUGCAUAUCGCCCUAACAGAUCCACAGAUGAUGCAAUCUCUAUUGCACUCCACACUGCCCUUUCCCACAUGGACAAAAGGAACACCUAUGUGAGAAUGCUAUUCAUUGACUCCAUCUUAGCGUUCAACAACAUAGUGCCCUCAAAGCUCACCAAUAAGCUAAGGACCCUGGGUCUAAACACCUCCCUCUGCAACUGGAUCCUGGACUUCCUGAUGGGCCGCUCCCAGGUUGUAAGGGUAGGCAACAACACAUCGCUGAUCCUCAACACAGGGGCCCCUCAGGGGUGCGUGCUCAGUCCCCUCCUGUACUCCCUGUUCACUCAUGACUGCACAGCCAGGCACGACUCCAACACCAUCAUUAAGUUUGCCGAUGACAAAACAACGGUAGGCCUGAUCAUCGACAACGACGAGACAGCCUAUAGGGAGGAGGUCAGAGACCUGGCCAUCUGGUGCCAGGACAACAACAUCUCCCUCAACGUGAUCAAGACAAAGGAGAUGAUUGUAGACUACAGGAAAAAGAGGACUGAGCACGCCCCCAUUCUCAUCGACAGGACUGUAGUUGAGCAGGUUGAGAGCUUCAAGUUCCUUGGUGUCCACAUCACCAACAAACUAACAUGGUCCAAGCACACGACAAAACCUAUUCCCCUUCAGGAGACUGAAAAGAUUUGGUAUGGGUCCUCAGAUCCUCAAAAAAUUCUACAGCUGCACCAUCGAGAGCAUCCUGACCGGUUACAUCACUGCCUGAUAUGUCAACUGCUCGGCCUACAUAGGGCAGUGCGAACGGCCAAGCUUCCUGCCAUCCAGGACCUCUAUGGUGUCAGAGGAAGGCCCUAAAAAUUGUCAAAGACUCCAGCCACCCUAGCCACCCUAGUCAUAGACUGUUCUCUCUGCUACCGCACGGCAAGCGGUACCGGAGCGCCAAAUCUAGGACCAUGAGGCUUCUAAAUAGCUUCUACCCCCAAGCCAUAAGACUCCUGAACACCUAAUCAAAUGGCUACCCAGACUAUUUGCAUUAACCCCCCCCCCUUUACACUGCUGCUACUCUGUUGUUAUCAUCUAUGCAUAGUCACUUUAAUAACUCUACCUACAUGUACACAUUACCACAACUAACCGGUGCCCCUGCACAUUGACUGUACCAGUACCCCCCCUUUAUAUAGUCUAGCUAUUGUUGUUUUACUGCUGCUCUUUAAUUACUUGUUACUUUUAUUUCUUAUCUGUAAUUCUUUUAAACUGCAUUGUUGGUUAGGGACUCGUAAGUAAGCAUUUCACUGUAAGGUGAAACUUGUUGUAUUCAGC
This 2367-nucleotide long non-coding RNA is filed under the name Salmo salar (Atlantic salmon). Its description in RNAcentral is "lncRNA (ENSSSAG00000095783.1)". The stretch from base 70 to 123 matches the Rfam family "UnaL2 LINE 3' element". Lineage: Eukaryota; Metazoa; Chordata; Actinopteri; Salmoniformes; Salmonidae. The record is from RNAcentral.